Long non-coding RNA from Lolium rigidum, 851 nucleotides. RefSeq lists it as uncharacterized. The transcript is spliced from 3 exons. The record is from RefSeq and is a predicted model, not a curated record. NCBI's taxonomy places the organism in Eukaryota, Viridiplantae, Streptophyta, Magnoliopsida, Poales, Poaceae.
CAAGUCGGGGCAUGUUCCAAUGGCGGAGACAAGCUCACACGUUUGGUUACCAAUUUCUCUAUUCAAUUAUUGCUGGUCAGUCCCUACUAGCAAGGCAAUAUGUGGAAGGGAACCACGAGCAAGCCUACAUGCUUUUAUAUAGAGUUCUGCAGAUUGGAGGUGUGAUUCGUCCAGCAGUUUCGUGUGAGAGCAAGUCAUGUGCAGAGGGGAUAAAUAGAACAAUAAGUGUUCCUACUGGAUCAGGGAUAAAUAGACAUGUGAUAGGUCUGGUGUGGUUGCUAGGGUGAUAAUAAUGCCACGGAUGUGUGAACUUAUAUAUGGUUUCAAAAUCUUCUUCACCAUUGUCUUUAUGUUACAUCUCAUGUCUUCACGUUUAGGAUUUCUUGAGGUUUAGGUUUUUCAUUAAUUAUUUGCCGAUUCAUAACAGUGGCGUCCUCAUUCUCUUGUCUCGGCAAGACAUUUUUCCUUUCAUGCAUGUACCUUUUUAAGUACAUUGUCUACCCGGUCUUGAUGUUUCUUUCCUUUUGUAGAGAUAUAAGGAUUUUGUGUGUUGCAAAUAAAUACAGUCUCAUGCUUAGCUUAACCUUCAUUUUAUUUUAUUUUUAUAUAAGUUUGCUAGCAUUAUUACUGAGUAUUUAGGCCCAUGAUGCCUUUUGGGCAUGUUCAAUUGUUUGGGCUAUGUAGCAUUAGAUUAAUAUAUUUCAUAUUAUGGAACCAAACAUAUUGGAUUUGAUACUGCAUUAAUAUUUGGAAUUAUUAGUUGAGAAACACUAGAUUACCUGAGCUGCUGCAUAUUUUUGUUAAUUUGCCGAUGUAAGUAUUGUGGGGCUGUAAUUGUUGAUUAGUUUUAG